This 484-nucleotide ribosomal RNA is filed under the name uncultured bacterium. RNAcentral describes it as "partial 16S ribosomal RNA". It matches the Rfam family "Bacterial small subunit ribosomal RNA", at positions 30 to 507 of the family's 1533-position model. The record is from RNAcentral.
AUUGAACGCUGGCGGCAGGCCUAACACAUGCAAGUCGAGCGGAUGAAGGGAGCUUGCUCCUGGAUUCAGCGGCGGACGGGUGAGUAAUGCCUAGGAAUCUGCCUGGUAGUGGGGGAUAACGUCCGGAAACGGGCGCUAAUACCGCAUACGUCCUGAGGGAGAAAGUGGGGGAUCUUCGGACCUCACGCUAUCAGAUGAGCCUAGGUCGGAUUAGCUAGUUGGUGGGGUAAAGGCCUACCAAGGCGACGAUCCGUAACUGGUCUGAGAGGAUGAUCAGUCACACUGGAACUGAGGCACGGUCCAGACUCCUACGGGAGGCAGCAGUGGGGAAUAUUGGACAAUGGGCGGAAGCCUGAUCCAGCCAUGCCGCGUGUGUGAAGAAGGUCUUCGGAUUGUAAAGCACUUUAAGUUGGGAGGAAGGGCAGUAAGUUAAUACCUUGCUGUUUUGACGUUACCAACAGAAUAAGCACCGGCUAACUUCGUG